This 245-nucleotide ribosomal RNA is filed under the name uncultured bacterium. RNAcentral describes it as "partial small subunit ribosomal RNA". It matches the Rfam family "Bacterial small subunit ribosomal RNA", at positions 26 to 286 of the family's 1533-position model. The record is from RNAcentral.
AGAAUCAACGCUGGCGGCGUGCCUAACACAUGCAAGUCGAACGAGAAAGUGGAGCAAUCCAUGAGUACAGUGGCGCACGGGUGAGUAACACGUGACUAACCUACCCUUGAGUGGGGAAUAACCUGGAGAAAUCUAGGCUAAUACCGCAUAACACCUACGGGUCAAAGGAGCAAUUCGCUUAAGGAGGGGGUCGCGGCAGAUUAGCUAGUUGGCGGGUAAUGGCCCACCAAGGCAGUGAUCUGUAU